This 423-nucleotide long non-coding RNA is filed under the name Zea mays. RNAcentral describes it as "long non-coding RNA NONZMAT001755". The record is from RNAcentral. Lineage: Eukaryota; Viridiplantae; Streptophyta; Magnoliopsida; Poales; Poaceae.
GGGACCGCGCAUCAGGAUCGUCUCCCCAAUAUUGUCGCUGCAACAGACUGCCGACCCCCGUCUUGAGAUCCUGCUUCCACCUCAACCACCCUGGUCUUCUAGCUCAGACUUCACCGUUGGGUUAUAAAUCGCAAGCGCUGCAGCCUCCUCGUCCUCCCAACCCUAGAGUUCUAGACGUCGAGCUCACCCAGGACCUGACUCGUGGAAAAGCAGAGAGGAGCAUUGCCACCUGGUUACUCGCCCAUGCUGUCGUUCUGAGCGCAUGGUCGAGUCAAGGUGCAUCGCGGGUGGUUGGUGAAGUCGUUCAUGGGCUCGACGGCAAGGAUUGACCAUUGGGGCGGUGGAGAUUGCUCACCGGAACCACUGCGCCGUCGUGGAGCUGCGUUCCAUCAUGGGCGAUUGUCUCUACGCCCGAAUCCGCGG